AUAUCAAUAAGCGGAGGAAAAGAAACCAACAGGGAUUGCCUCAGUAACGGCGAGUGAAGCGGCAACAGCUCAAAUUUGAAAUCUGGAGCCUUCGGCUUCCGAGUUGUAAUUUGAAGAGGAUGCUUCGGUUGCGGCCCCGGCCCAAGUUCCUUGGAACAGGACGUCAUGGAGGGUGAGAAUCCCGUGCCUGGCUGGCGGCUUGCUUCUAUGUGAAGCUCCUUCGAAGAGUCGAGUUGUUUGGGAAUGCAGCUCAAAAUGGGUGGUAAAUUUCAUCUAAAGCUAAAUAUUGGCGGGAGACCGAUAGCGCACAAGUAGAGUGAUCGAAAGAUGAAAAGCACUUUGAAAAGAGAGUUAAACAGUACGUGAAAUUGUUGAAAGGGAAGCGCUUGCAAUCAGACUCGCCUGCGGUUGAUCAACGUUCCUUCUGGUUCGUGCACUCUGCCGCCGGCGGGCCAGCAUCAGCCGGGGCGGUGGGACAAAGACGGUGGGAAUGUGGCUCCCCUCGGGGAGUGUUAUAGCCCGCCGCGCAAUGCCACCAGCGCCGGCUGAGGUCCGCGGUUCGCCUAGGAUGCUGGCUUAAUGGUUGUAAGCGA
RNAcentral lists this ribosomal RNA (593 nucleotides) under uncultured fungus. Its description in RNAcentral is "eukaryotic LSU rRNA". It matches the Rfam family "Eukaryotic large subunit ribosomal RNA", at positions 40 to 647 of the family's 3401-position model. Lineage: Eukaryota; Fungi. The record is from RNAcentral.